RNAcentral lists this ribosomal RNA (253 nucleotides) under uncultured bacterium. RNAcentral's name for it is "partial 16S ribosomal RNA". It matches the Rfam family "Bacterial small subunit ribosomal RNA", at positions 524 to 776 of the family's 1533-position model. The record is from RNAcentral.
GACAGAGGGUGCGAACGUUGCUCGGAAUUACUGGGCGUAAAGCGCGUGUAGGCGGGUGAUCAAGUCAGAUGUGAAAUCCCUGGGCUCAACCCAGGAACUGCAUUUGAAACUGGUCGCCUGGAGUAUUGGAGAGGGAAGCGGAAUUCCUGGUGUAGAGGUGAAAUUCGUAGAUAUCAGGAGGAACACCGGUGGCGAAGGCGGCUUCCUGGACAAUUACUGACGCUGAGACGCGAAAGCGUGGGGAGCAAACAGG